GGUAAGAUGGCUGAAUCUUAGGCAAUAAACUGUAAAUUUAUUUAUGAAAAUUGAUUUCUCUUACCA
This 66-nucleotide transfer RNA is filed under the name Scarodytes savinensis. RNAcentral describes it as "tRNA-Tyr". It matches the Rfam family "tRNA". Rfam says of the family: Transfer RNA (tRNA) molecules are approximately 80 nucleotides in length. Their secondary structure includes four short double-helical elements and three loops (D, anti-codon, and T loops). Further hydrogen bonds mediate the characteristic L-shaped molecular structure. tRNAs have two regions of fundamental functional importance: the anti-codon, which is responsible for specific mRNA codon recognition, and the 3' end, to which the tRNAs corresponding amino acid is attached (by aminoacyl-tRNA synthetases). tRNAs cope with the degeneracy of the genetic code in two manners: having more than one tRNA (with a specific anti-codon) for a particular amino acid; and 'wobble' base-pairing, i.e. permitting non-standard base-pairing at the 3rd anti-codon position. Lineage: Eukaryota; Metazoa; Arthropoda; Insecta; Coleoptera; Dytiscidae. The record is from RNAcentral.